RNAcentral lists this long non-coding RNA (547 nucleotides) under Rattus norvegicus (Norway rat). RNAcentral describes it as "long non-coding RNA NONRATT026268". The record is from RNAcentral. Lineage: Eukaryota; Metazoa; Chordata; Mammalia; Rodentia; Muridae.
GUAAUGUCAACAUCAUCCUGCUGGUGCUAAGGCAAUGGGGGUGAGCGGCAAUCCCUUAGGGGGCGGAGAAGUCGAACUGUUCUAAAUGUGGAGUUGCUAAUUUAAGGGAUCCCAGUGGCUCCCCUUAUGCCAAAUCGUUAAUCAUAUGAAAUCAAGUGAGAGCAUUUUUCCCCCGGGGUGGUAGCGUGCAACCUUAUCUCUCUUAAAGCCACACUACUUGUGUUUGCCUUGACACAGAUCACUUUGAGCUACAUCUGGAUGCUAAGCAGUGCCUGUACUGACGCUCAGAACAGCCACGGUGCCAUCGCCCGGCCUGGGGAGUUAAGGGAGAAACACAUUCAGGUCUCCUUAUUUCUCCUUCCAUCCCAUGUUGCAAGCUAGAGCGAGCAUGAAGUCUUAUGAAAUGCUUGAUAAUUUAAAUCCCCGUAAGGCUUAAGGCUGAAGAUUUCAACCAAAUGGGCUUACAUGCGAAUGGCUCCAAUCCAGUAAAAAGAGGGGAAAAAAAGCCAAAAGUAAACAACAACAACAAUAAAAAAAAACAAAAAAA